CCUACGGGAGGCAGCAGUGGGGAAUAUUGGGCAAUGGGCGCAAGCCUGACCCAGCAACGCCGCGUGAAGGAAGAAGGCUUUCGGGUUGUAAACUUCUUUUCUCAGGGACGAAGCAAGUCACUGUACCUGAGCAAUAAGCCACGGCUAACUACGUGCCAGCAGCCGCGGUAAUACGUAGGUGGCAAGCGUUAUCCGGAUUUACUGGGUGUAAAGGGCGUGUAGGCGGGAAAGCAAGUCAGAUGUGAAAACCAUGGGCUCAACCUGUGGACUGCAUUUGAAACUGUUUAUCUUGAGUGCUGGAGAGGCAGACGGAAUUCCUGGUGUAGCGGUGAAAUGCGUAGAUAUUAGGAGGAACACCAGUGGCGAAGGCGGUCUGCUGGACAGCAACUGACGCUGAGGCGCGAAAGCGUGGGGAGCAAACAGGAUUAGAUACCCCAGUAGUC
This 443-nucleotide ribosomal RNA is filed under the name uncultured bacterium. Its description in RNAcentral is "partial 16S ribosomal RNA". It matches the Rfam family "Bacterial small subunit ribosomal RNA", at positions 338 to 795 of the family's 1533-position model. The record is from RNAcentral.